AUUGAACGCUGGCGGCAGGCCUAACACAUGCAAGUCGAGCGGAUGACGGGAGCUUGCUCCUUGAUUCAGCGGCGGACGGGUGAGUAAUGCCUAGGAAUCUGCCUGGUAGUGGGGGACAACGUUUCGAAAGGAACGCUAAUACCGCAUACGUCCUACGGGAGAAAGCAGGGGACCUUCGGGCCUUGCGCUAUCAGAUGAGCCUAGGUCGGAUUGGCUAGUUGGUGGGGUAAUGGGUCACCAAGGCGACGAUCCGUAACUGGUCUGAGAGGAUGAUCAGUCACACUGGAACUGAGACACGGUACAGACUCCUACGGGAGGCAGCAGUGGGGAAUAUUGGACAAUGGGCGAAAGCCUGAUCCAGCCAUGCCGCGUGUGUGAAGAAGGUCUUCGGAUUGUAAAGCACUUUAAGUUGGGAGGAAGGGCAGUAAGUUAAUACCUUGCUGUUUUGACGUUACCGGCAGAAUAAGCACCGGCUAACUCUGUGCCAGCCGCCGCCGUAA
Molecule: ribosomal RNA, 500 nt
Filed under: uncultured bacterium
Lineage: Bacteria
Description: partial 16S ribosomal RNA
Rfam family: Bacterial small subunit ribosomal RNA
Source: RNAcentral